UGGGGAAUAUUGGACAAUGGGCGAAAGCCUGAUCCAGCCAUGCCGCGUGUGUGAAGAAGGUCUUCGGAUUGUAAAGCACUUUAAGUUGGGAGGAAGGGCAUUUACCUAAUACGUAAGUGUUUUGACGUUACCGACAGAAUAAGCACCGGCUAACUCUGUGCCAGCAGCCGCGGUAAUACAGAGGGUGCAAGCGUUAAUCGGAAUUACUGGGCGUAAAGCGCGCGUAGGUGGUUUGUUAAGUUGGAUGUGAAAUCCCCGGGCUCAACCUGGGAACUGCAUUCAAAACUGACAAGCUAGAGUAUGGUAGAGGGUGGUGGAAUUUCCUGUGUAGCGGUGAAAUGCGUAGAUAUAGGAAGGAACACCAGUGGCGAAGGCGACCACCUGGACUGAUACUGACACUGAGGUGCGAAAGCGUGGGGAGCAAAACAGGAUUAGAUACCCUGGUAGUCCACGCCGUAAACGAUGUCAACUAGCCGUUGGGAGCCUUGAGCUCUUAGUGGCGCAGCUAACGCAUUAAGUUGACCGCCUGGGGAGUACGGCCGCAAGGUUAAAAACUCAAAGGAAUUGACGGGGUCAUAGCUGUUUCCUG
RNAcentral lists this ribosomal RNA (589 nucleotides) under uncultured bacterium. RNAcentral describes it as "partial 16S ribosomal RNA". It matches the Rfam family "Bacterial small subunit ribosomal RNA", at positions 355 to 1376 of the family's 1533-position model. The record is from RNAcentral.